Molecule: ribosomal RNA, 497 nt
Filed under: uncultured bacterium
Lineage: Bacteria
Description: partial 16S ribosomal RNA
Rfam family: Bacterial small subunit ribosomal RNA
Source: RNAcentral
GAUGAACGCUGGCGGCGUGCCUAAUACAUGCAAGUCGAGCGAACAGACGAGGAGCUUUCUCCUCUGACGUUAGCGGCGGACGGGUGAGUAACACGUGGAUAACCUACCUAUAAGACUGGGAUAACUUCGGGAAACCGGAUCUAAUACCGGAUAAUAUAUUGAACCGCAUGGUUCAUUAGUGAAAGACGGUUUUGCUGUCCCUUAUAGAUGGAUCCUCGCCGCAUUAGCUAGUUGGUAAGGUAACGGCUUACCAAGGCAACGAUGCGUAGCCGACCUGAGAGGGUGGUCGGCCACACUGGAACUGAGAAACGGUCCAGACUCCUACGGGAGGCAGCAGUAGGGAAUCUUCCGCAAUGGGCGAAAGCUUGACGGAGCAACGCCGCGUGAGUGAUGAAGGUCUUCGGAUCGUAAAACUCUGUUAUUAGGGAAGAACAAAUGUGUAAGUAACUAUGCACGUCUUGACGGUACCUAAUCAGAAAGCCACGGCUAACUACGUG